GAGAUGGGUGCCCCCAUCCGCACACUGUCCUUUGGCCACCGGACAUCAUGCCUCCCAAGAAGGAUGUUCCCGUGAAGAAACCAGCAGGGCCCUCCAUCUCCAAACCUGCUGCUAAGCCAGCAGCAGCAGGGGCUCCUCCAGCCAAGACCAAAGCUGAGCCAGCUGUCCCCCAGGCCCCUCAGAAAACCCAGGAGCCUCCAGUCGAUCUCUCCAAAGUGGUGAUCGAGUUUAACAAGGACCAGCUGGAGGAGUUCAAGGAGGCCUUCGAGCUGUUUGACCGAGUGGGGGAUGGCAAGAUCCUGUACAGCCAGUGUGGGGACGUGAUGAGGGCCCUGGGCCAGAACCCCACCAACGCCGAGGUGCUCAAGGUCCUGGGGAACCCCAAGAGUGAUGAGCUGAAGUCCCGGCGUGUGGACUUUGAGACUUUCCUGCCCAUGCUCCAGGCAGUGGCCAAGAACCGAGGCCAAGGCACAUAUGAGGACUACUUGGAGGGGCUUCGUGUGUUUGACAAGGAGGGGAACGGCAAAGUCAUGGGAGCAGAGCUCAGACAUGUUCUCACCACCCUUGUACUAGGGUGAAAUGGAAAGCAAGAGGCAUCCAUGACCAGGGGAGGAUUCCCUUGAGGACUGAGGCUAUGGG
Molecule: small RNA, 639 nt
Filed under: Pan troglodytes (chimpanzee)
Lineage: Eukaryota; Metazoa; Chordata; Mammalia; Primates; Hominidae
Description: processed transcript
Source: RNAcentral